AUGACUGACCAGGACCAAGCAAUGGCAACAGCUAUAGAGCAGGUCCUCCCAAAUACUUGCCAUAGGUGUUGCAAGUUUCAUGUGUUUAGCAACACGCGUUCUAAGUUGGGGAGGCUGCUGAGCAGAGAUGAGGCGUUUGCAGAUGUGUUUUACACUUGUAUCAAUAAAUCAAAAACGGUUGAAGAAUUUGAGGAAACAUGGCAGCACAUGUUGCAUUGUUUCGAAGUUGCUGAAAACAAACACUUGAAGAACAUGUGGCGAACAAGACAUAUGUGGGCUCCAGCGUACUUCAAGAACAAUUUCUUCCCGUUCACAAGCACGAUAGGCAGGUCCGAGGGGAUCAACAUAUAUUUCAAGACAAUGAUUCGUCCAACUGAUUCUGUAUGGAGGUUUGUGCAACAGUAUGAACUGUGCCAGGAAAUUGUGCUUGAUCGUGAGGACAAUGCUGGCUUCACUGGUGAAACGACUGCUCCACCACUAUACUCUCGAUACAACAUUGAGCGCCAAGCUGCUGACACUGAGUACCAAGGGCAAGGCCUCCUGUUCAAUCUAACAUCAAGCUUAUAUGAGAACCCAAAGCUCUUUUCUAUGCGUGUUAUGAUGGAUGAAGGGGUAUUUCAAUGUAGUUGCCACUACUUUGAGAUGAAUGGUCUGGUUUGUGCCCACAUAAUAAGGGUGAUGGUGCACCUCAAUGUGCAAGUUAUUCCACAACAAUACUUGUUGGAAAGGUGGUAUGAAGCAGCAACAACAAGCAUGGCCAGAACUGGGCGAUUGCUGGAAUUUGGGCACCCCUCGACAAACACGCUCAAACACAACUCCUUGUGCCGAAGGUUGACAUGGCUCACCUCUGAUGCAUGUUGCAAUGAUGAUGCAUACAAGAUAUUAGAUGAAGCAAUAAAAGUUCUUGAGCCUGCCAUAGCAGUGGCGAAAAGAGGAGGACUACUAGAACAACAAGCAACCCUCAAAGCUCAGAAAUGCUACAAAACACAUCUCGUGUCCCUAAGAAAGGCCGGCCAACUGAAAGAGAAAAGAGGAAGAAGACUCUGGUGGAGCAGCGAGAUGAGAAGCAGAAGAAGAAGUCGAAACAAGAAGAGAAGAAGCCAAUGGCAGCAGUGA
This 1116-nucleotide ribosomal RNA is filed under the name Triticum aestivum (bread wheat). RNAcentral describes it as "partial small subunit ribosomal RNA". The record is from RNAcentral. Lineage: Eukaryota; Viridiplantae; Streptophyta; Magnoliopsida; Poales; Poaceae.